Molecule: long non-coding RNA, 592 nt
Filed under: Rhinopithecus roxellana (golden snub-nosed monkey)
Lineage: Eukaryota; Metazoa; Chordata; Mammalia; Primates; Cercopithecidae
Description: lncRNA (ENSRROG00000045960.1)
Source: RNAcentral
GGAUUGGGUCACCCGCCCUGUGCUCACGGCUUGAACUCCCAGAGCUGCGCUGUUGGGGGCGAAGCGCUGGACGAACGUUCGCCUGAGGAGUUCAGUGCUGAUGCUGCUCUUUUCCUUCCCAGCGGCAGAGUUCGGGGAGCCCACUUCCGAGCAGACAGGGACAGCUGCUGGGAAAACUGUUGCUCAAACCGCAGCCUCGGUGUCCUGGAAGCCCCAGGAUUCUUCGGAACAGUUACAGGAGAAGCUCUGCAAGAAUCCAUGUGCGAUGUUUGCUGCUGGAGAGAUCAAAACGUCGACAGGGGAGGGCCUUCUUGACUCACCCAGCAAAACCAUGUCUAUUAAAGAAAGGUUGGCACUGUUGAAGAAAAGCGGGGAGGAAGAUUGGAGAAACAGACUCAGCAGGAGGCAGGAGGGCGGCAAGGCGCUUGCCAGCAGCCUGCACACCCAGGAAACAGGGUGGUCCCUCAUCAAGAAGGAAGAAGGAGGAGUUGCGGAUGAUAUUGCCGUUUCUAAUCUGCUUUGGGAACCUGUAUAUGCUUCUACUUAUUCUCCUGCUAUUCCUGCUGCCCAUAAAUACCUGUCUUUUGUGUUG